AUGCAGAUACUCGAGUUUCCAAACAAAACACAGAGCAAGGAAUUGCACAUACCUUCCCUUGGCCUUGCUCUCGUGCUGCUGAUCUCCUUGGCCUGUCCAACCAGUUCCUGCACGGAGCAUGAGAAGACCUCCCUUCGCCGGUUCCUUGCUGGGCUCUCGCGUGACGGCGGCCUCGCUACCUUAUGGCAGGAUGGCACCGAUUGCUGCAAGUGGAGAGGGAUCACCUGCAGGCAAGAUAGCAUGAUCACCAAUAUCAUGCUGGCUUCAAAAGGCCUUGAGGGGCACAUCUCGGGGUCCCUUGGAAACCUCCCCGUGCUGCAGUACCUCAACCUCUCUCACAACUCGCUGUCCGGUGGUCUGCCGUUGGAAUUGGUGUCGUCCAGCAGCAUUACCAUACUUGAUGUCAGCUUUAACCAGCUCAAUGGAAGACUCCACGAGCUGGCAUCUCCAACCCCUGCCCGGCCUCUCCAGGUACUCAACAUCUCGAGCAACUUAUUUGCUGGACAGUUUCCAUCCACCACAUGGGAAGCAAUGGAGAAUCUGAGAGCACUCAAUGCCAGUAACAACAGCUUUACAGGGCACAUACCAACUUAUUUCUGUAUCAGCUCACCGUCCUUCGCUGUGCUUGACCUGUGUUUAAACAAAUUGAGUGGCAAAAUCCCCCGACAAAUUGGUCAUUGCUCCAAGCUGAGAGAGCUCAGGGCCGGGUACAACAACAUCAGUGGAGAAAUCCCAGAUGAACUCUUCAAUGCAACUUUGUUGGAAUACCUGUCUUUUCGUAAUAAUCAUUUAAAUGGAGUUCUUGAUGGUGUGCACAUAACCAAGCUCAGAAAUCUAGUAGCACUUGAUCUUGGAGGGAACAACUUCAGUGGUGAGAUUCCAGACUCCAUCGGCCAGCUCAAGAAACUGGAGGAGUUCCAUCUGGACAACAACAAUUUGUCAGGGGAGCUGCCAUCAGCUCUAAGCAACUGCACGAAUAUCGUAGCAAUUGAUCUCAAGAAAAACAAUUUCAGUGGACAGCUCGGCAAGGUCAAUUUCUCCAACCUGCCAAAUCUAAAGACAUUAGAUGUUUACUUCAACAACUUCACCGGCACAGUUCCAGAAAGCAUAUACUCUUGCAUCAAUCUGACUGCACUGCGGCUAGCUGAGAACAACUUCAGUGGGGAGCUGUCACCACAAAUGGGCAAGCUGAUGUACCUCACCUUCAUCUCAAUUACAAACAAUCAUUUCAAUAACAUCACAAAUACACUUCACAUCCUUAAGAACUGCCGGAACCUUACCACCCUGCUUAUGGCUCUCAACUUCAGGGGAGAGAUCAUGCCAGAGGAUGACAAAAUUGAUGGUUUUGUGAAUCUUCAGGUUUUGGGCAUCUCGGGAUGUUACUUGACUGGAAACAUACCUGUUUGGAUAUCGAGCCUUGCAAAUUUAGAGCUGUUAGACUUACAUCAAAACCAACUCAAUGGAUCAAUACCAGCUUGGAUUGAAACCCUAAGCAAACUCUUUUACCUAGAUAUAUCAAACAACAGACUCACAGGGAGAAUUCCAACAGCACUGAUGAAUAUGCCAAUGCUAAUGUCAUGGACUGAAACCCAGCUAGACCCAAGUGUCUUUGAGUUGCCUGUUUAUACAGAUCCAUCACUUCAAUACCGCAUACCCAUUGCUUUCCCUAAAGUGCUAGAUCUAAGCAACAAUACAUUCACUGGUGAGAUCCCCAUGGAGAUCGGUCACUUGAAAGCCCUCUUUUCUCUCAAUUUCAGUUUCAACGGCUUGACAGGAUGGAUCCCACAAACAGUAUGCAAUCUCACAAACCUGCAGGUGCUCGACUUGUCCAACAAUGAUCUCACAGCUCCAACACCUCUUAUCUCCAAAAAUCAUCGGGAUAAGAAGGAGACUCUUCCAAUUACAUUUGGUGUGUUCUUUGGGGGCAUCGCUGUUCUUCUGUUGCUGGGACGUCUCCUUGUGUUAAUCAGGAUGAAGAGCUUGACAACAAAAAAUGGAAGGGAGAGUAACGGAGAUGUUGAAGCAACUUCAAUCCACUCAAGUUCAGAGCAAACGUUGGUGGUUAUGUGGAUGCCACAAGGCAAGGAAGAAGAAAACAAGCUCAAAUUCACUGAUAUUCUGAAAGCUACAAACAACUUUGACAAGGAGAACAUCAUUGGAUGUGGAGGCUAUGGAUUAGUCUACAAGGCAGAGCUACCUGAUGGCACCAAGCUGGCAAUCAAAAAGCUCAGCGGUGAAAUGUGUCUGAUGGAAAGGGAGUUCAGUGCAGAGGUUGAUGCACUCUCCAUGGCACAACAUGAAAAUAUUGUACCUCUGUGGGGUUACUGCGUCCAUGGAAAUUCAAGGCUCCUCAUAUAUUCCUACAUGGAGAAUGGCAGCCUGGAUGAUUGGCUUCAUAACAGGGAUGAUGACGAUAGCUUAUUUCUUCACUGGCCAACUCGGCUCAAGAUCGCACAAGGAGCAAGCCUGGGCCUUUCAUAUAUCCAUGAUGUCUGCAAACCUCAAAUUGUCCACCGUGACAUCAAAUCCAGUAACAUCCUGCUGGACAAAGAAUUCAAAGCUUAUGUUGCAGAUUUUGGGCUAGCCAGAUUGAUCCUUCCCAAUAAAACUCAUGUUACUACUGAGUUGGUUGGCACUAUGGGUUACAUUCCCCCUGAGUAUGGGCAGGCAUGGGUUGCUACGUUGAGAGGUGAUAUAUACAGUUUUGGGGUAGUCCUCCUUGAGCUGCUCACAGGAAGGCGACCUAUUCCUGUUCUGUCUACAUCAAAAGAACUUGUCCCAUGGGUUCUACAGAUGAGGUCUGAGGGUAAGCAGACUGAGGUAUUUGAUCCAACACUUCAAGGAGCAGGGUAUGAAGAGCAAAUGCUGAAGGUGCUUGAAACUGCUUGCAAGUGUGUCGAUAACAAUCAAGUCAGGAGGCCAGAUAUCACAGAAGUAGUCUCCUGCCUGGCCAGUAUAGAAGCUGUCAGCCACGUUGGAUGA
Molecule: ribosomal RNA, 2982 nt
Filed under: Triticum aestivum (bread wheat)
Lineage: Eukaryota; Viridiplantae; Streptophyta; Magnoliopsida; Poales; Poaceae
Description: partial small subunit ribosomal RNA
Source: RNAcentral